This 1530-nucleotide ribosomal RNA is filed under the name Escherichia coli DEC13B. Its description in RNAcentral is "bacterial SSU rRNA". It matches the Rfam family "Bacterial small subunit ribosomal RNA". Lineage: Bacteria; Pseudomonadati; Pseudomonadota; Gammaproteobacteria; Enterobacterales; Enterobacteriaceae. The record is from RNAcentral.
AGAGUUUGAUCAUGGCUCAGAUUGAACGCUGGCGGCAGGCCUAACACAUGCAAGUCGAACGGUAACAGGAAGAAGCUUGCUUCUUUGCUGACGAGUGGCGGACGGGUGAGUAAUGUCUGGGAAACUGCCUGAUGGAGGGGGAUAACUACUGGAAACGGUAGCUAAUACCGCAUAACGUCGCAAGACCAAAGAGGGGGACCUUCGGGCCUCUUGCCAUCGGAUGUGCCCAGAUGGGAUUAGCUAGUAGGUGGGGUAACGGCUCACCUAGGCGACGAUCCCUAGCUGGUCUGAGAGGAUGACCAGCCACACUGGAACUGAGACACGGUCCAGACUCCUACGGGAGGCAGCAGUGGGGAAUAUUGCACAAUGGGCGCAAGCCUGAUGCAGCCAUGCCGCGUGUAUGAAGAAGGCCUUCGGGUUGUAAAGUACUUUCAGCGGGGAGGAAGGGAGUAAAGUUAAUACCUUUGCUCAUUGACGUUACCCGCAGAAGAAGCACCGGCUAACUCCGUGCCAGCAGCCGCGGUAAUACGGAGGGUGCAAGCGUUAAUCGGAAUUACUGGGCGUAAAGCGCACGCAGGCGGUUUGUUAAGUCAGAUGUGAAAUCCCCGGGCUCAACCUGGGAACUGCAUCUGAUACUGGCAAGCUUGAGUCUCGUAGAGGGGGGUAGAAUUCCAGGUGUAGCGGUGAAAUGCGUAGAGAUCUGGAGGAAUACCGGUGGCGAAGGCGGCCCCCUGGACGAAGACUGACGCUCAGGUGCGAAAGCGUGGGGAGCAAACAGGAUUAGAUACCCUGGUAGUCCACGCCGUAAACGAUGUCGACUUGGAGGUUGUGCCCUUGAGGCGUGGCUUCCGGAGCUAACGCGUUAAGUCGACCGCCUGGGGAGUACGGCCGCAAGGUUAAAACUCAAAUGAAUUGACGGGGGCCCGCACAAGCGGUGGAGCAUGUGGUUUAAUUCGAUGCAACGCGAAGAACCUUACCUGGUCUUGACAUCCACGGAAGUUUUCAGAGAUGAGAAUGUGCCUUCGGGAACCGUGAGACAGGUGCUGCAUGGCUGUCGUCAGCUCGUGUUGUGAAAUGUUGGGUUAAGUCCCGCAACGAGCGCAACCCUUAUCCUUUGUUGCCAGCGGUCCGGCCGGGAACUCAAAGGAGACUGCCAGUGAUAAACUGGAGGAAGGUGGGGAUGACGUCAAGUCAUCAUGGCCCUUACGACCAGGGCUACACACGUGCUACAAUGGCGUAUACAAAGAGAAGCGACCUCGCGAGAGCAAGCGGACCUCAUAAAGUGCGUCGUAGUCCGGAUUGGAGUCUGCAACUCGACUCCAUGAAGUCGGAAUCGCUAGUAAUCGUGGAUCAGAAUGCCACGGUGAAUACGUUCCCGGGCCUUGUACACACCGCCCGUCACACCAUGGGAGUGGGUUGCAAAAGAAGUAGGUAGCUUAACCUUCGGGAGGGCGCUUACCACUUUGUGAUUCAUGACUGGGGUGAAGUCGUAACAAGGUAACCGUAGGGGAACCUGCGGUUGGAUCACCU